This is a long non-coding RNA of Saccostrea cuccullata (small rock oyster), 669 nucleotides long. RefSeq lists it as uncharacterized. The record is from RefSeq and is a predicted model, not a curated record. The transcript has 4 exons. Lineage: Eukaryota; Metazoa; Mollusca; Bivalvia; Ostreida; Ostreidae.
UUGAGCUACUGUCUUAUAAAACUUCAGAAUGUGACUUGUACAAAGUCUUUGCUUUGAUAGAAGCCAAAAAACAACAGCAAUCGAAGUGUAAUUUUAGCAACACACAGAUUUAAAACAUUGAAUAUGAUGGGCAUGGCCAAAGAAAGAAGUGGACAUUGUUUCUGCAUUCAAAUCACAUUCUUAAUAGAAUUUUGAAUAGGAAGUUGGAAUAUGAUGGGCAUGGCCAAAGACAAAAGUGGACAUUGUUGCUACACUCAAGUCACAUUCUGAAUAGGAAGUGUAAGUGGUACCACUUGCUAAUGUCCCUGGUAAACCCAGUGGAUUAAAAAAUGUUUUGAGCCACUCACGCAUUAAACUUCCGAAUGUGACUUGUACAAAAUCUUGGCUGUGAUAGAAGCCGAGGAACAACCAUCAAAGUGUAAUUGUCAGGAGCACACAGAUUUAAAACAUGGAAUAUGAUGGGCAUGGCCAAAGACAAAAGUGGACAUUGUUGCUACACUUAAGUCACAUUCUGAAUAGGAAGUGUAAAUGGUACCAGUUAAUUGCUAAUGUCCCUGGUUUUGUUUAUGCUAUAAACAAACCCAGUGGAUUAAAAACUGUUUUGAGCCAAUCCCUCAUAAAACGUCAGAAUAUGACUUGUACUAAAUCAUUGCUGUGAUAUAAGCCAAA